GACGAACGCUGGCGGCGUGCUUAACACAUGCAAGUCGAGCGGUAAGGCCCUUUCGGGGGUACACGAGCGGCGAACGGGUGAGUAACACGUGGGUGACCUGCCCUUAGCUCUGGGAUAAGCCGUGGGAAACUGGGUCUAAUACCGGAUAUGACUCCAUGACGCAUGGUUGUGGGGUGGAAAGCCUUGUGCGGCUAGGGAUGGGCCCGCGGCCUAUCAGCUUGUUGGUGGGGUGAUGGCCUACCAAGGCGACGACGGGUAGCCGGCCUGAGAGGGCGACCGGCCACACUGGGACU
This 293-nucleotide ribosomal RNA is filed under the name uncultured bacterium. RNAcentral describes it as "partial 16S ribosomal RNA". It matches the Rfam family "Bacterial small subunit ribosomal RNA", at positions 28 to 320 of the family's 1533-position model. The record is from RNAcentral.